RNAcentral lists this ribosomal RNA (590 nucleotides) under Lepturacanthus sp. ZRC 48649. RNAcentral describes it as "partial 16S rRNA". It matches the Rfam family "Bacterial large subunit ribosomal RNA", at positions 1934 to 2616 of the family's 2925-position model. The record is from RNAcentral. Lineage: Eukaryota; Metazoa; Chordata; Actinopteri; Scombriformes; Trichiuridae.
UGGUUUUAAAGGGGAGGCCGGUCAGAUUCUCCGACUAAAAGAAAAAAGGCUUUUCCUUCUUAACCGUGCAAAGGUAGCGUAAUCACUUGUCUUUUAAUUAAGGGACCCGUAUGAAUGACAAAACGAGGGCUCAACUGUCUCCUUCUUUUAGUCAAUGAAAUUGAUCUCCCCGUGCAGAAAGCGGGGAUUCAUUCAUAAGACGAGAAGACCUAUGAAGCUUUAGACAAUCGGACAUACCCUGUUAAUACACCCCCAUAAAAGGGCCAAAACCUACCCACCCAUGUCCCCGAUUUUAUGUUGGGGCGNACCCCGGGGGAACAAAAACCCCCCACGUGGAAUAGUAGCAUCCGCUAUCCACAACCGAGAGCCACGACUCCAAAAACCAGAACCUCUGGACCACAAAUAUGACCCGGCAAUGCCGAUCAACGGAACAAGUUACUCUAGGGAUAACAGCGCAAUCCCCUUUUUAGAGGCCGCAUCACAAGGGGGUUUACGACCUCGAUGUUGGAUCAGGACAUCCUANUGGUGCAGCCGCUAUUAAGGGUUCGCUUGUUCAACGAUUAAAGUCCUACGUGAUCUGAGUUUCAGAA